Non-coding RNA from Mus musculus (house mouse), 438 nucleotides. The record is from the annotation of a RefSeq genome assembly. NCBI's taxonomy places the organism in Eukaryota, Metazoa, Chordata, Mammalia, Rodentia, Muridae.
AUGGAUUUUCAGGUGCAGAUUUUCAGCUUCCUGCUAAUCAGUGCCUCAGUUUUUCUUCAUCUGAAUGUUGGGUGGUAUAAAAUUAUUUUUGUAUCUCUAUUUCUACUAAUCCCUUUCUCUCUAUUUUGCUUUUUUCUAGUCAUACUGUCCAGAGGACAAAUUGUUCUCACCCAGUCUCCAGCAAUCAUGUCUGCAUCUCCAGGGGAGAAGGUCACCAUGACCUGCAGUGCCAGCUCAAGUAUAAGUUACAUGCACUGGUACCAGCAGAAGCCAGGCACCUCCCCCAAAAGAUGGAUUUAUGACACAUCCAAACUGGCUUCUGGAGUCCCUGCUCGCUUCAGUGGCAGUGGGUCUGGGACCUCUUAUUCUCUCACAAUCAGCAGCAUGGAGGCUGAAGAUGCUGCCACUUAUUACUGCCAUCAGCGGAGUAGUUACCCA